CAUGCAGUCGAACGAUGAAGCCCUUCCGGGGUGGAUUAGUGGCGAACGGGUGAGUAACACGUGGGCAAUCUGCCCUUCACUCUGGGACAAGCCCUGGAAACGGGGUCUAAUACCGGAUAACACUUUCCUCUGCAUGGGGGAAGGUUGAAAGCUCCGGCGGUGAAGGAUGAGCCCGCGGCCUAUCAGCUUGUUGGUGGGGUGAUGGCCCACCAAGGCGACGACGGGUAGCCGGCCUGAGAGGGCGACCGGCCACACUGGGACUGAGACACGGCCCAGACUCCUACGGGAGGCAGCAGUGGGGAAUAUUGCACAAUGGGCGAAAGCCUGAUGCAGCGACGCCGCGUGAGGGAUGACGGCCUUCGGGUUGUAAACCUCUUUCAGCAGGGAAGAAGCGAAAGUGACGGUACCUGCAGAAGAAGCGCCGGCUAACUACGUGCCAGCAGCCGCGGUAAUACGUAGGGCGCAAGCGUUGUCCGGAAUUAUUGGGCGUAAAGAGCUCGUAGGCGGCUUGUCGCGUCGGAUGUGAAAGCCCGGGGCUUAACCCCGGGUCUGCAUUCGAUACGGGCAGGCUAGAGUGUGGUAGGGGAGAUCGGAAUUCCUGGUGUAGCGGUGAAAUGCGCAG
RNAcentral lists this ribosomal RNA (622 nucleotides) under Streptomyces sp. Its description in RNAcentral is "bacterial SSU rRNA". It matches the Rfam family "Bacterial small subunit ribosomal RNA", at positions 54 to 693 of the family's 1533-position model. The record is from RNAcentral. Lineage: Bacteria; Bacillati; Actinomycetota; Actinomycetes; Kitasatosporales; Streptomycetaceae.